RNAcentral lists this ribosomal RNA (497 nucleotides) under uncultured bacterium. RNAcentral describes it as "partial 16S ribosomal RNA". It matches the Rfam family "Bacterial small subunit ribosomal RNA", at positions 28 to 507 of the family's 1533-position model. The record is from RNAcentral.
GAUGAACGCUGGCGGCGUGCCUAAUACAUGCAAGUCGAGCGAACAGACGAGGAGCUUGCUCCUCUGACGUUAGCGGCGGACGGGUGAGUAACACGUGGAUAACCUACCUAUAAGACUGGGAUAACUUCGGGAAACCGGAGCUAAUACCGGAUAAUAUAUUGAACCGCAUGGUUCAAUAGUGAAAGACGGUUUUGCUGUCACUUAUAGAUGGAUCCGCGCCGCAUUAGCUAGUUGGUAAGGUAACGGCUUACCAAGGCAACGAUGCGUAGCCGACCUGAGAGAGUGAUCGGCCACACUAGAACUGAGACACGGUCCAGACUCCUACGGGAGGCAGCAGUAGGGAAUCUUCCGCAAAGGGCGAAAGCCUGACGGAGCAACGCCGCGUGAGUGAUGAAGGUCUUCGGAUCGUAAAACUCUGUUAUUAGGGAAGAACAAAUGUGUAAGUAACUAUGCACGUCUUGACGGUACCUAAUCAGAAAGCCACGGCUAACUACGUG